UACGUAGGGUGCAAGCGUUGUCCGGAAUUAUUGGGCGUAAAGAGCGUGUAGGCGGCCAUACAGGUCAGCUGUGAAAACUCGAGGCUCAACCUCGAGACGUCGGUUGAAACCGUAUGGCUAGAGUCCGGAAGAGGAGAGUGGAAUUCCCGGUGUAGCGGUGAAAUGCGCAGAUAUCGGGAAGAACACCCGUGGCGAAGGCGGCUCUCUGGGACGGUACUGACGCUGAGACGCGAAAGCGUGGGGAGCGAACAGG
This 253-nucleotide ribosomal RNA is filed under the name uncultured bacterium. RNAcentral describes it as "partial 16S ribosomal RNA". It matches the Rfam family "Bacterial small subunit ribosomal RNA", at positions 524 to 776 of the family's 1533-position model. The record is from RNAcentral.